Molecule: ribosomal RNA, 338 nt
Filed under: uncultured bacterium
Lineage: Bacteria
Description: bacterial SSU rRNA
Rfam family: Bacterial small subunit ribosomal RNA
Source: RNAcentral
CAGCAGCCGCGGUAAUACGGAGGGUGCAAGCGUUAUUCGGAAUCACUGGGCGUAAAGCGCGCGUAGGCGCUGCGCAAGUCAGAUGUGAAACCCUCGGCUAAACCGGGGAAUUGCAUCUGAAACUGCGUAGCUAGAGUUCGGGAGAGGGCGGCGGAACUCCCGGUGUAGGGGUGAAAUCCGUAGAUAUCGGGAGGAACACCAGAGGCGAAGCGGCCGCCUGGACCGAAACUGACGCUGAGGCGCGAAAGCGUGGGUAGCAAACAGGAUUAGAUACCCUGGUAGUCCACGCCGUAAACAUUGGGCGCUAGAUGCUGGGGGCGUUAGAGCUUCGGUGUCGU